GAUCUACCCAUGGCCAGUGUGAAGCAGAGGUAAGACUCUGUGGAGGCGCGAACCCACUUAGGUUGAAAACUGAGGGGAUGAGCUGUGGGUAGGGGUGAAAGGCCAAUCAAACUCCGUGAUAGCUGGUUCUCCCCGAAAUGCAUUUAGGUGCAGCGUCGUGUGUUUCCUCCUGGAGGUAGAGCUACUGGUUGGUUUAGCGGGACUAUCAUCUUAGCGACAUCAGCCAAACUCCGAAUGCCGGUGAGGUCAGAGCACGGCAGUGAGACUGCGGGGGAUAAGCUUCGUAGUCGAGAGGGAAACAGCCCAGAUCGCCGGCUAAGGCCCCUAAGGGUGUGCUAAGUGGAAAAGGAUGUGGGAUCGCGAAGACAACCAGGAGGUUGGCUUAGAAGCAGCCAUCCUUGAAAGAGUGCGUAAUAGCUCACUGGUCGAGUGGUUCUGCGCCGACAAUGUAGUGGGGCUCAAGUACACCGCCGAAGCCGCGGCAAUCACCUUUUGGUGGUUGGGUAGGGGAGCGUCGCGUGACUGCUGUGAAGCGCUGGGGUAACCCUAGUGUGGAGUGUGCGCGAGUGAGAAUGCAGGCAUGAGUAGCGAAUGAGGAGUGGAAAACUCCUCCGCCGAAUGACUAAGGGUUCCUGGGCCAGGUUAAUCCUCCCAGGGUGAGUCGGGACCUAAGGCGAGGCCGACAGGCGUAGUCGAUGGAUAACGGGUUGAUAUUCCCGUACCCGUGUGUCCGCGCCCAUGGUGAAUCAGGGAUACUAACCCACCUGAACACGCGCCGUUUACUAGCCUUUUAGGUUGGUUGGUGUGUGUGAUGCUGGGGACCUGAACUGGUAGUAGCCAAGUGAUGGGGUGACGCAGGAAGGUAGCCGUGCCACGUGAUGGAUAUCGUGGUGUAAGCGUGUGGCCCGUGUUCUAGGUAAAUCCGGAGCACAUGUGGGUGAGGCGUGAUGCGUACCCGUUUUGGGGAAGUUGGUGAUCCUAUGCUGCCGAGAAAAGCCUCUAGCGAUGUGGAUAUACGGCCCGUACCCGAAACCGACACAGGUAGUCAGGUAGAGAAUACUAAGGCGAUCGGGAGAACUGUGGUUAAGGAACUCGGCAAAAUGCCCCCGUAACUUCGGGAGAAGGGGGGCCAUGACUGGUGACCGACGUGGUUGAGCUGGUUGUGGCCGCAGAGAAUAGAGGGAAGCGACUGUUUACUAAAAACACAGGUCCGUGCGAAGACGGGUAAGUCGAUGUAUACGGACUGACGCCUGCCCGGUGCUGGAAGGUUAAGAGGACCUGUUAGACCCUUUUGGGGUCGAAGCGGAGAAUUUAAGCCCCAGUAAACGGCGGUGGUAACUAUAACCAUCCUAAGGUAGCGAAAUUCCUUGUCGGGUAAGUUCCGACCUGCACGAAUGGCGUAACGACUUCCCUGCUGUCUCAACCACAGACCCGGCGAAAUUGCAGUACGAGUAAAGAUGCUCGUUACGCGCGGCAGGACGAAAAGACCCCGGGACCUUCACUAUAGCUUGGUAUUGGUGUUCGGUUCGGUUUGUGUAGGAUAGGUGGGAGACUGUGAUGCCUCAACGCCAGUUGGGGUGGAGUCGUUGUUGAAAUACCACUCUGAUCGUAUUGGACAUCUCAACCUCGGCCCGUGAUCCGGGUUAGGGACAGUGCCUGGUGGGUAGUUUAACUGGGGCGGUUGCCUCCCAAAGAGUAACGGAGGCGCCCAAAGGUUCCCUCAGCCUGGUUGGCAAUCAGGUGUUGAGUGUAAGUGCACAAGGGAGCUUGACUGUGAGACUGACAGGUCGAGCAGGUAGGAAACUAGGGACUAGUGAUCCGGCACCGGCUUGUGGAAGCGGUGUCGCUCAACGGAUAAAAGGUACCCCGGGGAUAACAGGCUGAUCUUCCCCAAGAGUCCAUAUCGACGGGAUGGUUUGGCACCUCGAUGUCGGCUCGUCGCAUCCUGGGGCUGGAGUAGGUCCCAAGGGUUGGGCUGUUCGCCCAUUAAAGCGGCACGCGAGCUGGGUUUAGAACGUCGUGAGACAGUUCGGUCUCUAUCCGCCGCGCGCGUAGAAACUUGAGGAAGGCUGUCCCUAGUACGAGAGGACCGGGAUGGACGUACCUCUGGUGUGCCAGUUGUCCCGCCUGGGGCAUGGCUGGUUGGCUACGUACGGAAGGGAUAACCGCUGAAAGCAUCUAAGCGGGAAGCCUGUUCCAAGAUUAGGUUUCUUUU
RNAcentral lists this ribosomal RNA (2215 nucleotides) under Corynebacterium jeikeium. RNAcentral's name for it is "bacterial LSU rRNA". It matches the Rfam family "Bacterial large subunit ribosomal RNA", at positions 727 to 2817 of the family's 2925-position model. Lineage: Bacteria; Bacillati; Actinomycetota; Actinomycetes; Mycobacteriales; Corynebacteriaceae. The record is from RNAcentral.